AUGUCACAUGCCAGCGGGCAGUCCCGUCCUCCCCCCCAUCCCCCCCCCUCGUACGCACAGCACCGGCGCUGCGGGGUCACUCAUUGCACGAGUGGGAGAGAGACGGAGCACAGCCAGGACCCAAAACUUGGGGCACGGCCACGUCUCCUCCAACAUCCAGCACCGUUUCUCACCCGCAGAACCCUAAAAGCCAUCGGGAAGCACGCGGCUUCUUUUCCAACCCCUCCAACUGUCAGCGCUCAACUUGCAGCUGGAGGCCUCUGCAGGUGCACUGCGCUGUUGCUGCCACAGUGUACCAUCAUUUCCUGUGUGACAGUCUUUAAGACCACCACAAGGGUAAAUACGCCGUUCCUCAUGACGCCGGACAAGUUAAUGACACAGCUGUUUGCAGAAAGGAGGUUGUAA
This 405-nucleotide long non-coding RNA is filed under the name Phasianus colchicus (ring-necked pheasant). RNAcentral describes it as "lncRNA (ENSPCLG00000011705.1)". Lineage: Eukaryota; Metazoa; Chordata; Aves; Galliformes; Phasianidae. The record is from RNAcentral.